UUCUCGAGGUAUGACCAAAGAUUUACAAAAAAUUUCAACCCCAUCGAUCUACGAUUACUUAACAAUUCUUCAUCUUAUAGAUCGCUCAAAAAAUAACAUCUUGAAAUGCCGCCUUAAGGGAGCUUCCGGCGAAACACAAAAAUUUCUAGAACGCUGAAAACGAGCGAUCGAGAAAGCGACAGGGCAGCAGCCAGUUUCUUGUACUACUGCUCAGAAAUGACUGAGGUAACGAACGGUCGGCAGUCUAAUUACUUAAGCGAAGUAGUCUCGUUGUCAGUGGCAGGAAAGAGGCAUUCAGGAACCCACUUCUCGCUCUCUCGACCCUCGUUCCGCUUCUCGACUUCUCUCUGUCUCGCACCAUUGCACGGUUUCCAUUUAAGGAACAACCUCCCCCUCUUCUCAACAGCUGUAGGCGUCUCGAGGGGUAAAACCAAUAACGCUAAGACGUCCUCGAGAGAGUCGAAUGAGGGUAGUAUGAUAGGAUAAGGGAAAAUUAGUCACUGUGUGACAGUCCGUUACAGUUAAUUUCCAUUACAUAUUCACUUGUACAUAUGAUUAUUUCAAGUUUAAGUGUUUUACAAUUUUUAAUUUAGCAUUGCGUGGUACGCAAUUUCAGUCUGCUAGCGUGCUUUUACCGUUACAAAACGGAAUUGUUCUUUGAUAAACAAUUCAGUCUAAGAAUUUAUGAAUUGAAGGACAAGUGAGCAUCAUACAAAUCUUGCCUCUGUGUCACCUGAUAGUCAUCUUUCCAAUUACUCAUGCUACAAGAAAUAGCCAUUGAACUCUGCUUCGCUUAUUUCAUUUGUGUGGAAGAAAAAUAUACUAGCGGAUAAAAUGGAUUAUAAUAUAAAUCACAGAAGAAACAAGAUAAGGUUCGUAGGGACGCGUCUUCAACUAUUCGCUUCUUGCUGAGAAUUUUACCGAUGUAAUUCAAUUGACGGAAAAACUCGUCGGAUCGAGAACAAUUAAACCGCUUCAUCAUUGUCCUGUCAUCCAGGCGACGAAGCCGGGAGCGUUUUGUCGCUGAAGGACGACUAGUCGUUUCGUACCAUCAUCCACUCGAUUCCAUCCUCGAAACGCAGCUACACCAAUACAUGUAUCCCUAUGUGUCUCGCCCCUACCUCUCGCAGAAAGAACAGAGUUUCCCCUGAACCAGCGUUCAGCCUUUGCGUAACAAAUCGUAGAAACCGUCGGGAUCGUUCUCUUUCAGUUUUGCUGGUUGGCUCUCCAGUCACGUUGCUUUUAAUUGUAGCUGGUAUCGGCGGUGAGCCAGUCGAGAGACGAGAGGGGCCUGGCCUACGCUUCGAAUUGGUUUGGAGGCAAUCGGUGGAUUGUCACGGGAUUCCGAAGAUUGGCGGAAAAAGUGGGAGAAAGAUGGAACGUGUAAAUAGUUCGUCUUGCAUCGACAACCUCUGCUGACGAAUUUAGCGAAAUCAUCUUCUCUCCGAGUGACUAAAAACGAUCGAUUCGCUGGAUCAUUCGGCCAUCUCACCGUGAUUCAAACAUAUAUCCUAAUGUUCUUGCAAAGGGAGUGCCACGUUUUUGUCAAGAGUUUAUGCUCUUGGUCGAUCAAGGGAAGAAAAAGAAGGUACCAGCUUGAGAAACGCCCCUCGCGUUUCUUUCGUGUCAUUCGAGGAUAUUUGCAGAGGCCGUCGCAUGGUCGGCCGUAUUGGAAACAUUACUGAACGUCUUUGAGAGUUUACGAGUUAGAUACUCGAUGCAGGGAUCGUGCCAAGAAAGGAGACCGUUUCCAACGGAUUCUUAGAAGCGAGCGUAAGAGGAACGCCGCGCUGGGAUCAAGUCCUCAUAAAUUUAUCGAUCGUUCUUGCAAAACCCCGCAGAGAGCGGCGUGAACCGAUGAGGACAGCGUUUCAGGACUUUUUCCUGUUCCCAAGGUGAAUAGAAAGUAAUCAACUAUCUCGCGUGAAACGAAAUUCGUGAAAUGUUGCUUAAACAAUACUUAAACUCUACAUGUCGUCGCUCUAUCUCAUUGACUCAUUUACAUAAUUCUAUCACUUGUAUAGGG
Molecule: long non-coding RNA, 2026 nt
Organism: Bombus pascuorum
Lineage: Eukaryota; Metazoa; Arthropoda; Insecta; Hymenoptera; Apidae
Exons: 3
Source: RefSeq, a predicted model, not a curated record